AUGGAGAAAAAUAAAUGCCAGCCCAGGUCCACCACAAGUCCCGCUGCCCACCCCCCGCCUCCAAUGACCGGAAAAAAAACCAUCAUUUCGAGUGAUCUGCAGCGCCAUCAACAAAGACGAGAGCUCAUGGCGACGGCGGCAAUGGACAUCAGAUCCGGUGGACAGGUAUGGUUGGUAGUUCAUCCUCUGCCAAGUACUAACUCUGAAUCUUUUGCGGGAACCAACUUAGGGAUGCCUGGGUGUUCUCGCAGGUUCCCCUUGCUGGAUCUUGCAUCUAGCGAUUUCGCGCCGGCCGUUGGCCAUGAACAACGGCUGCGAGCGCUGAGCUUGUCGGCGACCGAUUCGCAACAAUCAACGGGAAAAGACGACCCUCCAGCCUCCGGGUGGACAAAAAGAAAAAAGAAGGCCGACGUCAGUUUGUAUUUGUUCAUUCUCAACUCUGAAGCUAGGUUCAUAUUGGGCGAGCCCCUAUCGAGCGUGCACCUUGUGCUGGAAGAGUAUGUGCCCUUGAAAAAAACAUUAAGAGGAUAUGCAGAGAAGAAAACUGAUACCGUAGUGGUACCAUCUGUUGGAUACAACUUCGAUUCAUUGGGAGAGCCAUACGACCUCCACAACCUAUGUUCGUGGGAAAUUGGAUUCGAAAUAAGAUACGAAAAAAGUAGGCUCAACGUCAAGAGAACCAAAUGUAUGCAGGAGAUAGGCAAACCAAAAAGAGGAAAUACACGCACAUCCCGCUGUGAGUGCCCUGCGUACAUAACUGAGCACAGGCCAUCACACAAUCAUGCUUUGACAGAUAAAUGUGGUGAAAAGGUGUACUGA
RNAcentral lists this ribosomal RNA (819 nucleotides) under Triticum aestivum (bread wheat). RNAcentral's name for it is "partial small subunit ribosomal RNA". The record is from RNAcentral. Lineage: Eukaryota; Viridiplantae; Streptophyta; Magnoliopsida; Poales; Poaceae.